AGAGUUUGAUCAUGGCUCAGGAUGAACGCUAGCGGCAGGCCUAAUACAUGCAAGUCGAGGGGUAUAGAUGGGUUUACUCGUCUAGAGACCGGCGCACGGGUGCGUAACACGUAUGCAACCUACCUAUAACUGGGGUAUAGCUCAGAGAAAUCUGAAUUAAUCCCCCAUAAGAUUACGGAAUGGCAUCAUUCAGUAAUUAAAGCUGAGGCGGUUAUAGAUGGGCAUGCGUUGCAUUAGCUAGUUGGUGAGGUAAUGGCUCACCAAGGCUACGAUGCAUAGGGGUUCUGAGAGGAUGAUCCCCCACACUGGUACUGAGACACGGACCAGACUCCUACGGGAGGCAGCAGUAGGGAAUAUUGGUCAAUGGACGCAAGUCUGAACCAGCCAUGCCGCGUGCAGGAAGACGGCCCUCUGGGUUGUAAACUGCUUUUAUAUAGGAAGAAACCUCAUGAUGCGUUGUGAGCUGACGGUACUAUAUGAAUAAGGAUCGGCUAACUUCGUGCCAGCAGCCGCGGUAAGACGAAGGAUCCAAGCGUUGUCCGGAUUUACUGGGUUUAAAGGGUGCGUAGGCGGACUCUUAAGUCAGUGGUGAAAGCCCAUAGCUCAACUAUGGAACUGCCAUUGAAACUGGGAGUCUUGAAUUCGAUUGAGGCAGAUAGAAUAUAACAUGUAGCGGUGAAAUGCUUAGAUAUGUUAUAGAAUACCGAUUGCGAAGGCAGUCUGCUAAGUCGACAUUGACGCUGAGGCACGAAAGCGUGGGGAGCGAACAGGAUUAGAUACCCUGGUAGUCCACGCUGUAAACGUUGAUUACUCGCUGUUGGCAAUACACAGUCAGCGGCUAAGCGAAAGCGUUAAGUAAUCCACCUGGGAAGUACGAUCGCAAGAU
This 886-nucleotide ribosomal RNA is filed under the name uncultured bacterium. RNAcentral's name for it is "bacterial SSU rRNA". It matches the Rfam family "Bacterial small subunit ribosomal RNA", at positions 8 to 894 of the family's 1533-position model. The record is from RNAcentral.